RNAcentral lists this ribosomal RNA (497 nucleotides) under uncultured bacterium. RNAcentral's name for it is "partial 16S ribosomal RNA". It matches the Rfam family "Bacterial small subunit ribosomal RNA", at positions 28 to 507 of the family's 1533-position model. The record is from RNAcentral.
GAUGAACGCUGGCGGCGUGCCUAAUACAUGCAAGUCGAGCGAACGGACGCGACGCUUGCUUCUUUGAUGUUAGCGGCGGACGGGUGAGUCACACGUGGAACACCUACCUAUAAGACUGGGAAAACUUCGGGAAACCGGCGCUUAUACCGGAUAAUCUUUUGCACCGCAUGGUUCAUAAGUGAAAGACGGUCUUGCUGUCACUUCUCGAUGGAUCUGCGCUGCAUUAGCUAGUUGGUGAGGUAACGGCUUACCAGGGCAACUAUGCAUAGCCGAGGUGAGAGGGGGGUCGGCCGCACUGGAGCUGAAACACGCUCCAGGCGACUGAGAUACGCAGCAGAAGGGAAUCGGCCGCAAUAGGCGAAAGCCUUGCGCAACGACGCCGCGUGAGAGAUGGAGAUGUUCGGAGCGGAAUACUGGGUUAUGAGGGAAGAACAGAUUUGGAAGGAAAUGUGGAGAUCUUGACGGUACCGGGUCAGGAAGCCACGGCUAACUACGUG